AGGGAGACCUAAUUCGGGUAGGAGACGAAAAAAAAGUAGUCGCUACCAAGAAUCAAUCCCAAAAGGUCGGAGCGAGGCGAAAUUGGCUUUCAAACUAGGUUCUGGGUUCACACAAGACCUGAAUCAGGAACAAGGGCUAUUAGCUCAGGUGGUUAGAGCGCACCCCUGAUAAGGGUGAGGUCCCUGGUUCGAGUCCAGGAUGGCCCACCUGCACAGGUGGCAAAAACAAGAGAAGCGAGGAAUCAGCACCUUAUCUUACCUACAUAGUAAGAGAGGAUGCUGGCUCUGAGUACAGAGUCCAGAGGAACCUUGAAAACUGCAUAGAGCUAGGUGAAAAAGCCAAAAAAGAAGACCGCAA
This 358-nucleotide transfer RNA is filed under the name uncultured Microcystis sp. Its description in RNAcentral is "partial 16S-23S ribosomal RNA intergenic spacer". The stretch from base 134 to 207 matches the Rfam family "tRNA". Lineage: Bacteria; Bacillati; Cyanobacteriota; Cyanophyceae; Chroococcales; Microcystaceae. The record is from RNAcentral.